Molecule: ribosomal RNA, 144 nt
Filed under: Steinernema diaprepesi
Lineage: Eukaryota; Metazoa; Nematoda; Chromadorea; Rhabditida; Steinernematidae
Description: partial 18S ribosomal RNA
Rfam family: Eukaryotic small subunit ribosomal RNA
Source: RNAcentral
GAGUUGUUUCGAGAAAAGCGGAGACUGCUUCUCUGAGCGCUUUCGGGCGCGAAUUGAGGCGAGAACCGCGUUAAUCGAAACGGCUUGAACCGGGCAAAAGUCGUAACAAGGUUUCCGUAGGUGAACCUGCGGAAGGAUCAUUAU